GGGGGUGAAAGAAUCGACAGAACUUUUCACUAAAAUAGGCAGAUGGAGUAUGCUGGAAUCUCAUUAAACUUCCGGCAAUAAUAAGUGCCAACUUAUUCGCUCCUCUAAAAGGAGCUCCUGUUUACGCAUAAAACCGUAAACCAUCCGCUUGCCGAUUCUCGAUAGGCAAAACCGGGUGUCAUUUUCGAGAUAGGCAGUUAUUUUUGUCCGAAAUAAUUGCUAAAAUUAAUUGGGCUUGGAAUAAUAAAGUUUUGUCUGUUUCUAAUUUGUUAUUCUGAAAAAAUUAAACAGUCUAAAUCUGUAGAAAUAUUUUAGUGAAUUUUCUGGACGCGAGCUCACCCUCGCCACCUCCACCA
Molecule: transfer-messenger RNA, 356 nt
Filed under: Candidatus Nealsonbacteria bacterium RBG_13_42_11
Lineage: Bacteria; Candidatus Nealsoniibacteriota
Also listed under: 1 other name
Rfam family: transfer-messenger RNA
About the family: Bacterial tmRNA, also known as 10Sa RNA or SsrA, is named for its dual tRNA and mRNA-like properties. Its role is to liberate the mRNA from a stalled ribosome. To accomplish this part of the tmRNA is used as a reading frame that ends in a translation stop signal.
Source: RNAcentral